This 449-nucleotide ribosomal RNA is filed under the name uncultured Streptococcus sp. RNAcentral's name for it is "bacterial SSU rRNA". It matches the Rfam family "Bacterial small subunit ribosomal RNA", at positions 933 to 1382 of the family's 1533-position model. Lineage: Bacteria; Bacillati; Bacillota; Bacilli; Lactobacillales; Streptococcaceae. The record is from RNAcentral.
UGGAGCAUGUGGUUUAAUUCGAAGCAACGCGAAGAACCUUACCAGGUCUUGACAUCCCGAUGCUAUUUCUAGAGAUAGAAAGUUACUUCGGUACAUCGGUGACAGGUGGUGCAUGGUUGUCGUCAGCUCGUGUCGUGAGAUGUUGGGUUAAGUCCCGCAACGAGCGCAACCCCUAUUGUUAGUUGCCAUCAUUCAGUUGGGCACUCUAGCGAGACUGCCGGUAAUAAACCGGAGGAAGGUGGGGAUGACGUCAAAUCAUCAUGCCCCUUAUGACCUGGGCUACACACGUGCUACAAUGGUUGGUACAACGAGUUGCGAGUCGGUGACGGCGAGCUAAUCUCUUAAAGCCAAUCUCAGUUCGGAUUGUAGGCUGCAACUCGCCUACAUGAAGUCGGAAUCGCUAGUAAUCGCGGAUCAGCACGCCGCGGUCGAAUACGUUCCCGGGCCUU